RNAcentral lists this ribosomal RNA (374 nucleotides) under uncultured bacterium. RNAcentral's name for it is "bacterial SSU rRNA". It matches the Rfam family "Bacterial small subunit ribosomal RNA", at positions 30 to 414 of the family's 1533-position model. The record is from RNAcentral.
AUUGAACGCUGGCGGCAGGCUUAACACAUGCAAGUCGAGCGGAGACUUCGGUCUUAGCGGCGAACGGGUGAGGAAUGCCUGGGAAUCUGCCUGGUAGUGGGGGGAUAACGUUCCGAAAGGAACGCUAAUACCGCAUACGUCCUACGGGAGAAAGCAGGGGACCUUCGGGCCUUGCGCUAUCAGAUGAGCCCAGGUCGGAUUAGCUAGUAGGUGAGGUAAAGGCUCACCUAGGCGACGAUCCGUAGCUGGUCUGAGAGGAUGAUCAGCCACACUGGAACCUGAGACACGGUCCAGACUCCUACGGGAGGCAGCAGUGGGGAAUAUUGGACAAUGGGCGAAAGCCUGAUCCAGCCAUGCCGCGUGUGUGAAGAAGG